GAAUCCCACAGGCCGUAAACCCAAGGUUUCCAGGGGAAGGUUCGUCCGCCCUGGGUUAGUCGGGACCUAAGCUGAGGCCGCAAGGCGUAGGUGAUGGACAACAGGUUGAUAUUCCUGUACUACCGAUAACCAUUUGAGAGAAGGGAUGACACAGUAGGAUAAGCUAAGCACACUGCUGGUUAUGUGUGCCCAAGCAUUGAGGCAGUCA
Molecule: ribosomal RNA, 208 nt
Filed under: Clostridioides difficile
Lineage: Bacteria; Bacillati; Bacillota; Clostridia; Peptostreptococcales; Peptostreptococcaceae
Description: partial 23S ribosomal RNA
Rfam family: Bacterial large subunit ribosomal RNA
Source: RNAcentral